ACACAUGCAGUCGAGCGCCCUUUCGGGGGAGCGGCGGACGGGUGAGUAACGCGUGGGAAUAUGCCCUUCUCUACGGAAUAGCCUCGGGAAACUGAGAGUAAUACCGUAUACGCCCUUUGGGGGAAAGAUUUAUCGGGGAAGGAUUAGCCCGCGUUGGAUUAGGUAGUUGGUGGGGUAAUGGCCUACCAAGCCGACGAUCCAUAGCUGGUUUGAGAGGAUGAUCAGCCACACUGGGACUGAGACACGGCCCAGACUCCUACGGGAGGCAGCAGUGGGGAAUCUUAGACAAUGGGGGCAACCCUGAUCUAGCCAUGCCGCGUGAGUGUUGAGGGCCUGCCCCCUGUGAAGCUCUUUUAGCUGGGAAGAAAAUAACGAUACCA
RNAcentral lists this ribosomal RNA (380 nucleotides) under alpha proteobacterium M408. RNAcentral describes it as "bacterial SSU rRNA". It matches the Rfam family "Bacterial small subunit ribosomal RNA", at positions 51 to 480 of the family's 1533-position model. The record is from RNAcentral. Lineage: Bacteria; Pseudomonadati; Pseudomonadota; Alphaproteobacteria.